This 657-nucleotide ribosomal RNA is filed under the name Alteromonas macleodii. RNAcentral describes it as "bacterial SSU rRNA". It matches the Rfam family "Bacterial small subunit ribosomal RNA", at positions 115 to 776 of the family's 1533-position model. Lineage: Bacteria; Pseudomonadati; Pseudomonadota; Gammaproteobacteria; Alteromonadales; Alteromonadaceae. The record is from RNAcentral.
GCUUGGGAACUUGCCUUUGCGAGGGGGAUAACAGUUGGAAACGACUGCUAAUACCGCAUAAUGUCUUCGGACCAAACGGGGCUUCGGCUCCGGCGCAAAGAGAGGCCCAAGUGAGAUUAGCUAGUUGGUAAGGUAACGGCUUACCAAGGCGACGAUCUCUAGCUGUUCUGAGAGGAAGAUCAGCCACACUGGGACUGAGACACGGCCCAGACUCCUACGGGAGGCAGCAGUGGGGAAUAUUGCACAAUGGGGGAAACCCUGAUGCAGCCAUGCCGCGUGUGUGAAGAAGGCCUUCGGGUUGUAAAGCACUUUCAGUUGUGAGGAAAAGUUAGUAGUUAAUACCUGCUAGCCGUGACGUUAACAACAGAAGAAGCACCGGCUAACUCCGUGCCAGCAGCCGCGGUAAUACGGAGGGUGCGAGCGUUAAUCGGAAUUACUGGGCGUAAAGCGCACGCAGGCGGUUUGUUAAGCUAGAUGUGAAAGCCCCGGGCUCAACCUGGGAUGGUCAUUUAGAACUGGCAGACUAGAGUCUUGGAGAGGGGAGUGGAAUUUCAGGUGUAGCGGUGAAUGCGUAGAUAUCUGGAGGAACGUCAGUGGCGAAGGCGACUCCCUGGUUAAGACUGAUGCUCAUGUGCGAAAGUGUGGGUAGCGAACCAG